AAUGCUGCAUACAGGAGAUGAGGGAGGACGGCCAGACACCUGGAAGCCGGAAAAUGAGUGAAGCUGUGCCUGAUGCUGGGUUGGCCCGGUGUGCAGGGUGCCAGGGUGCAGCGGGAGGGUGGACUAUAUACACCCUGUACAAGAGGUGCUCCUGAAACAGUAGUCAUUUAAAGAGGAGAGAGAAAGGGAGGAAAGGCAGCCAUCAGGUGGCGCACUGAGUCCACACCCCAAAAGGCAAAGGGCUCACCAGGACCUUAAGGACCUCUGCUGCUGCUGCUGCUGCUUCAGGACUCAGUGGCCUUUGAGGAUGUGGCAGUGAACUUCACCCAGGAGGAGUGGGCUUUGCUGGAUCCUUGGCAGAAAAAACUCUACAGAGAUGUGAUGCUGGAAACCUAUAGGAACCUGGCUUCA
RNAcentral lists this long non-coding RNA (411 nucleotides) under Homo sapiens (human). RNAcentral describes it as "novel transcript". Lineage: Eukaryota; Metazoa; Chordata; Mammalia; Primates; Hominidae. The record is from RNAcentral.